UACGGAAGGCAGCAGUGGGGAAUAUUGCACAAUGGGCGAAAGCCUGAUGCAGCUAUGCCGCGUGUAUGAAGAAGGCCUUAGGGUUGUAAAGUACUUUCAUCGGGGAGGAAAAAACAAAACUAAUAAUUUUAUUUCUUGACGUUACCCGAAAAAGAAGCACCGGCUAACUCCGUGCCAGCAGCCGCGGUAAUACGGAGGGUGCUAGCGUUAAUCAGAAUUACUGGGCGUAAAGAGCACGUAGGUGGUUUUUUUAAGUCAGAUGUGAAAUCCCUGGGCUUAACCUAGGAACUGCAUUUUGAAACUGAAAUACUAGAGUAUCGUAGAGGGAGGUAGAAUUCUAGGUGUAGCGGUGAAAUAGCGUAGAUAUCUGGAGGAAGUACCUGUGGCGAAAGCGGCCGUCCUAAACGAAUAACUGACACUGAGGGUGCGAAAGCGUGGGGAGGCAAACAGGGAUUAGAUACC
This 462-nucleotide ribosomal RNA is filed under the name uncultured bacterium. RNAcentral describes it as "bacterial SSU rRNA". It matches the Rfam family "Bacterial small subunit ribosomal RNA", at positions 340 to 786 of the family's 1533-position model. The record is from RNAcentral.